Homo sapiens (human) is the source of this 1487-nucleotide long non-coding RNA. RefSeq lists it as uncharacterized. The transcript is spliced from 2 exons. The record is from RefSeq and is a predicted model, not a curated record. Lineage: Eukaryota; Metazoa; Chordata; Mammalia; Primates; Hominidae.
UCUAACUAAAGCAUGUUACAAGUGAUCUAUGUUAUUUUUACAAACCAAGUGAGUGGUUUAAAGAAAAUGGAAAGAUGUGUCCUCUAAGAAAACCACAGUUACGUGAGUGGUAAAUGGAAACAACGAGACUCUUACCUUCUAAGCUAUGGGGUCUGUUAGCUCUGCAUCCUGUAUCUCAGUGACUCAGGGCAGGUCACUAAGCCUCCUUGAGAACCUUGUUUUCAGUAUUCAUGGAAAAGGAGGGAAGUGACCCAGGCAAGGGUGUCGACUGUGAGGCAUAUUGCUUAUGUGCAGUUCUAUUAUUCUUGGUGUUAGAAAUCUGAACUCUCAUGUUUCAGUAACCGGAAAAUCUUCAGAAAAGACAUCCCCGGCGCCAUGGUUGUCAACAUGCUCAAACACCUCGUUAUAGCAUUCUUGCCCCUUACUGGUGCAACUUCUUGCUACUUUCCUGUAGUUCAGUGACAGAAGUUGGGGGUUAUUCUUGGUACCUUCUUGCAGAAUCUGCGACAUGGAUAAAAUUCUAUCUCUGCAUCUUACAGGUAUUAAAAUCCAGUUCCCUGCGUGCAUGCUCCAGUUUAAGUGGAUGGCUGAUUCUAUCCCGUCAUCCUGAACUUUGUAGCUUCCUUUAAGAGAUGAUAAAUUAGGGAACAAAAGGAUCUUCCUUUCCGUGACAGCAGCACUUUCGGGAGGCUGAGCAUGUACCUCUGACUCAAGGCUGAGUUAUUAUAAGAAAAACAGAAAAGGAAGGAAGAAGGUUUUAAUUUCCCACUGUUGAAGACAGUUUGUCAGGAUGAGAGACAGACAGACAGAGCGUGCACAGACCUGCACUUCUCUUCGGGGAUGAAUAGGGCAAGUGUUUCAUUCAUGACGUCUUCAAAGCGUUGCCCGGAAUGCAAAAUGACAUGGUUUUUCUGGAAUACUAGUCUGUUUGAAAGGCCAAGGAAAGGUGAUACAUUUUGAAUGCACAUUUGGGUGACUUCAGGGUCUCCUUCUAUAACCAGAAUGGAGAUGUCCCUGAAAGGCUGUCAACAGAGAAAAAAAGAAUUCUGGUUAAAAUUCCAUUAUUCCAGUUUUUUUUUUGUUGUUGUUGUUUUUUUUUUUUGCCUGCGUUGUGUAAUUGAAGAUGUCUUCCAAGCAGAAACAGACCCUUGUUUCAUGUGGAAAAAAAAAUACAUAGACUAAUAGACUACAGAGAAAUAGAGGUAAAAAGAAGAUUGCUGCCACUUCCCAGUUAAGGAAUGCGUUGCUUUCACCCACCGUGGUCCCUGCUGCCUGUGACUCCAACACAAGAAUCAAUCCAUCUGUCUUUCUGCCACCACAGACAUCUCCCUAAAUUGAUCUAAUCUUGUGUCUAUUCUUAAAAUUCUUCGGAUUGCUUCUUGUUAAUAGAUAAUUGAAGUUCAGUAGUACAGUCUUUCCAUCUCCCUUUCCUUCCUGAUUGUCAAAUCACUUUGACCCAAUAAAUCUCACUUAAUUUUUUAAUUGUA